GUGAAAACAAUGAAGCCCGCGUCAGCGCGCCCGCGCGCGCAUGGUGAUCUGGGUGUCGCGCAAAAGGUGAGCGUUGAUCUGACACGCGCGCUGAAAGACACACAGGUUGGGGCCGACAGUCAGAUGAAAAACAAAAUCCUUCCGAGGAUUCCAUCUGAGAAAGUGGGGAGGCAGCCGAUGGAGGACAUUGACGCCAUGUUCAGUGACCUCCUGGGAGAGAUGGACCUCCUCACUCAGAGCCUGGGUCAGGAAACGGGACCUGCGGCAGAUCUCCCCAGCUCCACCAAGAAGGUCACCUUCUCCACUGACUAUGCAGACUUGAAUGGUGAGAGCCGAGUGCUUUUGUUGAGCUUUUGCACAAUCAUUGGACUGUG
RNAcentral lists this long non-coding RNA (374 nucleotides) under Oryzias sinensis (Chinese medaka). Its description in RNAcentral is "lncRNA (ENSOSIG00000015843.1)". Lineage: Eukaryota; Metazoa; Chordata; Actinopteri; Beloniformes; Adrianichthyidae. The record is from RNAcentral.